AGAAACUUAAGUUACAUUAAACUAAGGGCCUUCAAAGCCCUAAACAGGACUUCACCACCCUAGUUUCUG
RNAcentral lists this transfer RNA (69 nucleotides) under Mesoamericus bilobatus. RNAcentral describes it as "Diploglossus bilobatus tRNA-Trp". Lineage: Eukaryota; Metazoa; Chordata; Lepidosauria; Squamata; Diploglossidae. The record is from RNAcentral.